GCUGCCUCUGCAGUUCUCGAGUUACUAACUCAGAUAUACAGACGAUCUCAGGAUACUUCAAAGCAUCCUGGUGAUUUUGUCCACAAAGGCAGAUGGGAGU
Molecule: long non-coding RNA, 100 nt
Organism: Sander lucioperca (pikeperch)
Lineage: Eukaryota; Metazoa; Chordata; Actinopteri; Perciformes; Percidae
Exons: 5
Source: RefSeq, a predicted model, not a curated record